This 375-nucleotide ribosomal RNA is filed under the name uncultured bacterium. RNAcentral describes it as "bacterial SSU rRNA". It matches the Rfam family "Bacterial small subunit ribosomal RNA", at positions 28 to 389 of the family's 1533-position model. The record is from RNAcentral.
AGCGAACGCUGGCGGCGUGCUUAACACAUGCAAGUCGAGUGCGCAGUUUCCUGUAGCAAUACAGGAAACCGGCGCACGGCGCACGGGUGAGUAACACGUGGGCAACCUGCCCUCCAAGUGGGGGAUACCCCCGCGAAAGCGGGACUAAUACCGCAUGACAUUCCGGUGGCUUCGGCCGCUGGAUUCAAAGGCCGCAAGGCCGGUUGGGGGAGGGGCCCGCGCCCGAUUAGCUUGUUGGCGAGGUAAUGGCUCACCAAGGCUUUGAUCGGUAGCCGGUCUGAGAGGAUGGCCGGCCACACUGGAACUGAGACACGGUCCAGACUCCUACGGGAGGCAGCAGUGGGGAAUCUUGCGCAAUGGGCGAAAGCCUGACGC